UACGUAGGGGGCAAGCGUUGUCCGGAAUUAUUGGGCGUAAAGCGCGCGCAGGCGGUUCAUUAAGUCUGGUGUUUAAGCCCAGGGCUCAACCCUGGUUCGCACUGGAAACUGAUGGACUUGAGUGUAGGAGAGGAAAGUGGAAUUCCACGUGUAGCGGUGAAAUGCGUAGAGAUGUGGAGGAACACCCAUGGCGAAGGCGACUUUCUGGCCUAUAACUGACGCUGAGGCGCGAAAGCGUGGGGAGCAAACAGG
RNAcentral lists this ribosomal RNA (252 nucleotides) under uncultured bacterium. RNAcentral's name for it is "partial 16S ribosomal RNA". It matches the Rfam family "Bacterial small subunit ribosomal RNA", at positions 524 to 776 of the family's 1533-position model. The record is from RNAcentral.